This 298-nucleotide ribosomal RNA is filed under the name uncultured bacterium. RNAcentral describes it as "partial 16S ribosomal RNA". It matches the Rfam family "Bacterial small subunit ribosomal RNA", at positions 28 to 334 of the family's 1533-position model. The record is from RNAcentral.
GAUGAACGCUGACAGAAUGCUUAACACAUGCAAGUCUACUUGAUCCUUCGGGUGAAGGUGGCGGACGGGUGAGUAACGCGUAAAGAACUUGCCUUACAGACUGGGACAACAUUUGGAAACGAAUGCUAAUACCGGAUAUUAUGACUGAGUCGCAUGAUUUGGUUAUGAAAGCUAUAUGCGCUGUGAGAGAGCUUUGCGUCCCAUUAGUUAGUUGGCGGGGUAACGGCCCACCAAGGCGACGAUCAGUAGCCGGACUGAGAGGUUGAACGGCCACCAUUGGGACUGAGACACGGCCCAG